RNAcentral lists this ribosomal RNA (422 nucleotides) under uncultured Chitinophaga sp. RNAcentral describes it as "bacterial SSU rRNA". It matches the Rfam family "Bacterial small subunit ribosomal RNA", at positions 355 to 774 of the family's 1533-position model. Lineage: Bacteria; Pseudomonadati; Bacteroidota; Chitinophagia; Chitinophagales; Chitinophagaceae. The record is from RNAcentral.
UAAGGAAUAUUGGUCAAUGGACGGAAGUCUGAACCAGCCAUGCCGCGUGGAGGAUGACGGCCCUCUGGGUUGUAAACUUCUUUUAUCUGGGACGAAACACUACUUUUCUAAGUAGCUUGACGGUACCAGGUGAAUAAGCACCGGCUAACUCCGUGCCAGCAGCCGCGGUAAUACGGAGGGUGCAAGCGUUAUCCGGAUUCACUGGGUUUAAAGGGUGCGUAGGCGGGCAUGUAAGUCUGUGGUGAAAUCUCCAAGCUUAACUUGGAAACUGCCAUGGAUACUAUAUGUCUUGAAUGUUGUGGAGGUUAGCGGAAUAUGUCAUGUAGCGGUGAAAUGCAUAGAUAUGACAUAGAACACCAAUUGCGAAGGCAGCUGGCUACACAAAUAUUGACGCUGAGGCACGAAAGCGUGGGGAUCAAACA